CCUACGGGAGGCAGCAGUGAGGAAUAUUGGUCAAUGGGCGCGAGCCUGAACCAGCCAAGUAGCGUGAAGGAUGACUGCCCUACGGGUUGUAAACUUCUUUUAUCAAGGAAUAAAGUGCCGCACGUGUGCGUUUUUGUAUGUACUUUAUGAAUAAGGAUCGGCUAACUCCGUGCCAGCAGCCGCGGUAAUACGGAGGAUCCGAGCGUUAUCCGGAUUUAUUGGGUUUAAAGGGAGCGUAGAUGGGUUGUUAAGUCAGUUGUGAAAGUUUGGGGCUCAACCGUAAAAUUGCAAUUGAUACUGGCAGUCUUGAGUACAGUUGAGGUAGGCGGAAUGCGUGGUGUAGCGGUGAAAUGCUUAGAUAUCACGAAGAACUCCGAUUGCGAAGGCAGCUUACUAAACUGCAACUGACAUUGAUGCUCGAAGGUGUGGGUAUCAAACAGGAGUAGAUACCCUAGUAGUC
RNAcentral lists this ribosomal RNA (460 nucleotides) under uncultured bacterium. Its description in RNAcentral is "partial 16S ribosomal RNA". It matches the Rfam family "Bacterial small subunit ribosomal RNA", at positions 338 to 795 of the family's 1533-position model. The record is from RNAcentral.